Molecule: ribosomal RNA, 274 nt
Filed under: uncultured bacterium
Lineage: Bacteria
Description: partial 16S ribosomal RNA
Rfam family: Bacterial small subunit ribosomal RNA
Source: RNAcentral
AAACGUAGGUGGCGAACGUUAUCCGGAUUUACUGGGCGUAAAGCGCUCGCAGGCGGCUUCGUAAGUCUGACGUGAAAGCUCCCGGCUUAACUGGGAGAGGCCGUUGGAUACUGCGGAGCUUGAGGGCAGGAGAGGAGAGUGGAAUUCCCGGUGUAGCGGUGGAAUGCGUAGAUAUCGGGAGGAACUCCAGUGGCGAAGGCGACUCUCUGGCCUGACCCUGACGCUCAGGAGCGAAAGCGUGGGGAGCGAACAGGAUUAGAAACCCUAGUAGUCC